This 253-nucleotide ribosomal RNA is filed under the name uncultured bacterium. RNAcentral describes it as "partial 16S ribosomal RNA". It matches the Rfam family "Bacterial small subunit ribosomal RNA", at positions 524 to 776 of the family's 1533-position model. The record is from RNAcentral.
UACGUAGGCAGCAAGCGUUGUUCGGAGUUACUGGGCGUAAAGGGCGCGUAGGCGGCUCGGCACGUCCGUUGUGAAAUCGCCCGGCUCAACUGGGCGGGGUCAGCGGAUACGGCCGAGCUUGAGCAAGCUAGGGGGCAAUGGAAUUCCCGGUGUAGUGGUGGAAUGCGUAGAUAUCGGGAGGAACACCAGUGGCGAAGGCGGUUGCCUGGGGCUUUGCUGACGCUGAUGCGCGAAAGCGUGGGGAGCGAUCCGG